CCGUUCGCGAAAUCGAACCCGCCUCGUUCAUUCGCCAGUCGAUUUCUCGCGUAGAAAUCCGGGCUCGGAAGCGUAAUUGCGGAACGCCCGUUCCGAAUCCCCGACGCCGAUGAUGGGCGUGAGCCUGCAGUGCGCGAUGGAUCUGGCGGUCGCCGGGAUUUCUCUGGCGGUCGGCCUGGGAUUCUUCGCGUUCGUCGCCGCCAUCCUCUGCUCCGCCGCCUUCGUUAACAACGUCAAGGACGUCUCCUGACCCGAUGGUCGUCCCAGAUAUUUCAAUGGAGCCAUGCGGGAACAAGAUCCGAAGAGCAUUCCUGUGCUUUCUGGGAAGCGGUAGGCUAUGUUGAAAUCAAGCCUUGUGUUCAGAUAGCCCAUGGACUACGGACACUCUUUUCAUGCAUCCAACAGAGAAAACCUUGUGAGAAACUGAGUUUUGAGUUUCUGAGGAAGUCUGUUGAUUAUGCUGAAUAAUAGCCAUGCCAGCAAGCCCUCUCGUGUUGUAGUAUACCUCUUGGAAAAAUUUGAUCGAGGAACUUAAUCAUCUUUUUUUCCUCAAAGAAUUGCAGAAAGCAUUUCCGUUCGUUUA
Long non-coding RNA from Eucalyptus grandis, 583 nucleotides. RefSeq lists it as uncharacterized. NCBI's taxonomy places the organism in Eukaryota, Viridiplantae, Streptophyta, Magnoliopsida, Myrtales, Myrtaceae. The transcript is spliced from 2 exons. The record is from RefSeq and is a predicted model, not a curated record.